This 26545-nucleotide long non-coding RNA is filed under the name Manihot esculenta (cassava). RNAcentral's name for it is "long non-coding RNA (MESC_LNC006049)". Lineage: Eukaryota; Viridiplantae; Streptophyta; Magnoliopsida; Malpighiales; Euphorbiaceae. The record is from RNAcentral.
GAACAUUCGGGGACGAAUGUUCUUAAGGGGGGGAGAAUGUAAUACCCGGCUAGAUUCCGGCAUCGGAAUUCCUACCUUCCGGCGGAAUCUCCGUUGGAAUCUGGAAUUCUGAAGAUGCCAGAGGCUUCUAGAAGGGUAAAAUGUGUUUUCUAGAAUGUUUUUAUUGAUUUUAUGGUUUUAAAUGGAAAAGAAUUGAGUUUUUAAAAGAAAAGACCAAGGAGGCAUUUGCCAGGUUCGGCCGCCGAACAUGGAAAGGUUUUGGGAGCGCUUUUGGCCUCCGAAAGUCUUGUUUGAAUGAGCCAAGGUUCAGUCGCCGAACCUCAAGUUCGGCCGCCGAACAUGCAUGAGUUUAGGGGGCACGUUAGGCUGCCGAAGGUCUUCGACCAGGCCACCUAUAAAGAGCCCUCAGAUCGGAAAUGGGUGAGUUUUCUCCCCAUUCUCGAGCUCAGGUGAGUUUUUGUCCUCCCUUGGCUGUUUUCAUGUUUUUCUUCAUCUCCUUCAUGUUUUCAUGAGUCUUAUGGCUGUUUUGAAGAGUUUUAAAGCUUAGAUCGAAGUUUUGGGAGCUUGGAGCUUUUGGAGCUUGGAUUCUCCACACCUCCGAGUUAGAGAUCACGCAACCCUCGAUCUUCAAGAGGUAAGUGUAGAUCUUUGCUUUCCUAGUGUCUUUUGAAGUUUGAUGAAGGUUUUAAUGGUUGAGUAUGGGUAGAUAUGCAUGUUAGGAUUUAUGUGGGUUUUAUGCCCAAUGUAUGUUAUGUGAUGCUCAUGUAUGUUUAUAUGAUGCUAUGUUGAUUGUUUAGGCUAGGUUAUGCAUGUGGGAGAGUGUAUGCAUGAGUGGGAAAGAGCAAGUGAGAUUAUGGGUUAUUUUGAUGGUUUUGGCCUAUGUGGGUCAUAAGCUAUCUAUGUAUGCUUUUGAUGUUGUUUUUGGAGUUUAAGUUUGUUUAAGCUCCUUUGUGCAUGGUUAAGGGCUUAUGCAUGUUUUGGUGAGUUGGGUGCUUGUUUUGGGGUGUUUGGAAGGUUUGGGAGGCUUGAAUGCAUGAGAAGCUGAGUUCUGCCCUUCUGGGAAGAACUCAGGUUCGGCUGCCGAAAGUAGCUUCGGCCGUCGAACCUGCCUUUGGAUGCAUGGUUUGGCCACCUAACCUUGCCCCCGAAAGUUGAGUUUUGGCUUGAAAGCAGACUUUCGGCCGCUGAAGGAAGGUUCGGCCGCCGAAAGUGCCUGACUUUCGUCUCUGGAGAAGGACUUUCAGCCGCCGAAGGUGCCCGAGUUUCGUCUCUGGAGAGAGGGUUCGGCCGCCGAAGGUGCCGCUGAAAGUGCCCUGUCCAGCCUUUUCAAGGUUGUUUUCUAUGCAUGUUUAAGUGAUGUUUUAAGGGGUUUUUGGGUAGUUGUUUAUGAGUUGUUUAGAGUGUGUUGGCACCUCAUUUGAGUCCACUUGUGUAGGAUCGGACCCGAGGGAUCGAGGAGGCCAUCAGCGUUAGCAGUUGCAGAGUCGGUCCAGCGUCUGCCAGAUGUGAGUAGAACUAACUUAACCUUUUAUUUUAAAGAAAUCAAAUGCCUAAAGCAUGCUCAUGCAUCAUGUUUAUAUGUAAUAGGUUGAUUGCACUAGUUACUUGAAUAUGAAGUAUUGCAUUAUUUACUGUUGAUGGAGAUGGGACCAAGGACGACCCCACUAGCCCUAGAGAUGUUGUAAGACCUGGUCGGGCCAGUCAUACAUAUGCAGUUGUUGUAAGACCUGGCCGGGCCAGGCAUACGAAGGUUGUGAGACCCGGCCGGGCCGGGCAUACUGAGACUAGAAGGGAUGUUUUGGGGUUAGGUCCAAUCCGUGAUAUGAUUUGUUUGUGCUGUGACGCAUUUCAUGAAAGCGUGUAAUUAAUGAACUGUUUUCUUUGUUUCUACUCACUGGGCUUUUUAGCUCACCCCUCUCCCCUAACCCCAGUUUUGCAGGUCAGAGGUAGGCCAGGAAGACGUCAAGGGUAAAAGUCUUGUAAUAAGAGUUAAGGUUUUGCUUAUGUAACAGCUUUAGUAAUUUUAGUGUGGACAUGUAUUAUAAAUUGAUAUAAUGAUUGUAAGAGAAUGUAAUGUAAAGUUAAGUGGAGUUAUGUUUAUGGAUUAGAACUGUGCUUGGCCCUAAGACUUGGUUAGUCCCUGUUUAAUACAUGAUGUAUGUAAUGUUUUAGAUGUUGAGUUGUGUUUGAACUAAACUGGUGGCAUGUGUUGUUUACCACGCUAGUGUUUGAUGAGGACUCUAGUGGAGGUCUUAUGUUUGUGGUUUGAUGCAUGCACAGGUUAGGUUCUAGUUCUUUGGAUGUGACUCCGACUUGAUGUAUGUUAUGUUGACCCAGCUAGUGUUUUGUUGAGAGCUCUAGUAUGGGGUUCUUUUAUGUUGCCAGUUAUAUUGCAUACAGGUCAAGCUCGGUAUUUACAUCAGAUGUUUCAGUUUUUAUGUUAAAGUUUUGAUCAUGUAUGGGAUUUGACCAGGUGAUAGGAAGUAUGUUUGGCUUGCUAUGGGUCCCGGCGGCCUUAAGCUGAUCUGGAUCCUAGCGCCGGUAGCGGUUCGGGCCGUUACAGAGGGGUAUCGGUUUCCGGGUCGUUACAACUGAGCAGUUCUACCCAUCUUCUCUACCUCAAAUUCAAAUCUCUCUGACUCAGGAUGUACUGCAGGCUCUUAUGAUCUGUGAAGAUCUCACAUUUAACCCCAUAAAGGUAGUGCCUCCACAUCUUGAGUGCAAAGAUUACUGCUGCCAUCUCUAGGUCAUGUGUAGGGUAAUUCAACUCGUGCUUCUUUAGCUGCCUAGAAGCAUAAGCAAUCACCCUUUCAUUCUGCAUUACCACACAACCCAGUCCCACACGGGACGCAUCACAGUAAACCGUGAAGUCUUCACUACUAGUUGGCAGAGCUAACACUGGUGCUGAAGUCAACCUCUUCUUGAGCUCCUCAAAGCUUUCUUCGCACUGGUCGGUCCACACAAACCUCUGAUUCUUCUUGGUUAGUCUGGUCAUGGGAGCUGCAAUUUUAGAGAAGUCCUGAACGAACCUCCUGUAAUAACCUGCUAAACCCAAGAAGCUCUUGAUCUCUGUCACUGUAGUGGGUCUAGGCCAGUUUGCUACAACUUCCACUUUCUUGGGGUCUACCUCGAUUCCAUUUUCUGACACCACAUGCCCCAAGAAUGAAAUGCUCCUCAGCCAGAACUCACAUUUGGAGAACUUGGCAUACAAGCCAGGUUCCCUCAAGGUCUGCAAAACCAACCUCAGAUGAUGGGCAUGCUCCUCUGCAUUCCUGGAAUACACUAAGAUAUCAUCUAUGAAGACAAUAACAAAGUGAUCCAGGUAUUGACUAAACACUCUGUUCAUGAGAUCCAUGAAUGCUGCAGGGGCAUUGGUCAACCCGAACGGCAUUACAAGGAAUUCAUAGUGCCCAUAUAUGGUCCUGAAGGCUGUCUUCGGCACAUCCUCUUCUCUUAUCCUCAGCUGAUGGUACCUCGAUCUCAGAUCUAUCUUGGAGAAACAACCUGCUCCUGCUAGCUGGUCGAAUAGAUCGUCGAUCCUUGGCAACGGGUACUUAUUCUUGGUAGUGACCUUGUUCAACUGCCUGUAGUCGAUACAAAGUCUGAGGGAUCCAUCCUUCUUUUUCACAAAUAGCACUGGAGCACCCCAAGGUGAGGUACUCGGUCGGAUGAAGCCUCUAUCUACCAACUCUUGCAACUGUUCCUUAAGCUCUUUCAAUUCCACUGGUGCCAUCCUGUAGGGAGGGAUAGUGUAACGCCCCGGAAAUCCGGUCCGCUACCGGCGCUAGGAUCCAGAUCGGCAUAAGGCCGCCGGGACCCGUAGCAAGCCUAACAUGUACCUGUAAACCUGUGUAAUCCCAUUUGUAUCUUUACAUGAUCUUUAUGUUAUGAUGUUUAAGUAAACCAACUCUCCAUAUGUUGUAUAGCCCUUCGAGGCUUGUUGAGAUCCCACAGAGGGACUUUAUUUAUGUAAAUGUUCAGAGCAUGCUCAGGUGGAGUUGGUGCAUAAUAGUAUGUAUGCAAGAAAAGUUUUAAAAUCUUUAUGCGCCUUUUUAUGUAACAGCCCGGACGUGAACCCCGGCACUGUUACCGUUCACACCCNNNNNNNNNNNNNNNNNNNNNNNNNNNNNNNNNNNNNNNNNNNNNNNNNNNNNNNNNNNNNNNNNNNNNNNNNNNNNNNNNNNNNNNNNNNNNNNNNNNNNNNNNNNNNNNNNNNNNNNNNNNNNNNNNNNNNNNNNNNNNNNNNNNNNNNNNNNNNNNNNNNNNNNNNNNNNNNNNNNNNNNNNNNNNNNNNNNNNNNNNNNNNNNNNNNNNNNNNNNNNNNNNNNNNNNNNNNNNNNNNNNNNNNNNNNNNNNNNNNNNNNNNNNNNNNNNNNNNNNNNNNNNNNNNNNNNNNNNNNNNNNNNNNNNNNNNNNNNNNNNNNNNNNNNNNNNNNNNNNNNNNNNNNNNNNNNNNNNNNNNNNNNNNNNNNNNNNNNNNNNNNNNNNNNNNNNNNNNNNNNNNNNNNNNNNNNNNNNNNNNNNNNNNNNNNNNNNNNNNNNNNNNNNNNNNNNNNNNNNNNNNNNNNNNNNNNNNNNNNNNNNNNNNNNNNNNNNNNNNNNNNNNNNNNNNNNNNNNNNNNNNNNNNNNNNNNNNNNNNNNNNNNNNNNNNNNNNNNNNNNNNNNNNNNNNNNNNNNNNNNNNNNNNNNNNNNNNNNNNNNNNNNNNNNNNNNNNNNNNNNNNNNNNNNNNNNNNNNNNNNNNNNNNNNNNNNNNNNNNNNNNNNNNNNNNNNNNNNNNNNNNNNNNNNNNNNNNNNNNNNNNNNNNNNNNNNNNNNNNNNNNNNNNNNNNNNNNNNNNNNNNNNNNNNNNNNNNNNNNNNNNNNNNNNNNNNNNNNNNNNNNNNNNNNNNNNNNNNNNNNNNNNNNNNNNNGACAUCUAAGAACUCUCUGACUACUGGCACUGAGGCGGGCUCCCUGACCUGACUAUCGAUCUCUCUCACAUGUGUUAGAAAACCCUGACAACCCCUCCGGAGCAACCUACGAGCCUGUAGGGCUGAUAUCAGACCUUUAGGCGUACCCCUCCUGUCUCCCCUGAAGACAAACUCUGACCCAUCCUGAGCUCUGAACCUGACUACUUUGUCCCUGCAGUCCAAGGUAGCACCAUGGGUAGAUAGCCAAUCCAUCCCUAGAAUGACGUCAAAAUCUGUCAAAUCUAGAACCACAAGGUCGGCUGGCAGGCAUCUAUCCUCUAUAAACACUGGACUAAAUCGGCAGACUGACUCUGCCACUGACGGGUCACACUUGGGUCCACUGACCCAGAGGGGACACUCUAACCCAGAGACCAUCAAACCCAACCUCUCAACUGCUCUCGGAGCUACAAAAGAAUGAGAUGCACCAGGGUCCAUUAAUGCAUACACAUCAGAACAGCCAAUGAUGAGAUUACCUGCCACCACGGUGUUAGAUGUGUUCGCCUCCUGCUGUGUCAUGGUGAAGAUCCGUGCUGGUGCUGAUGGACCUUCACCCCGGGAACCUGAAGAAGAGGCUGCUCCUCUCCCUCUGCCUCUGCCACUUGCUUGAGUCAUGGCUGGAGCUACUGGUUGGGCUGCACUACCAGAACCCGUCUGCUGAGACUGUGCCCCUGAAACUGCUCUAGGACACUCCCGAGCCAUGUGUCCCUCUUGUCCACAUCUGAAACAUGCGUUCGUCCCAGCCCGGCAGAUUCCUUUGUGUGGUCUACCACACUUCAUACAGACAUGACCGCCCGAACCAGAACUUGAGCCACCUCCCAUUCCCAGACUAGAUUUUAUCUUGUUCCAGAACUUGCUCUUUUUGGACUUAGAUCUGUCCCACUUUGCACUGCUUGGUGUCUUAGAAGCUGAAGACUGAUCCACUGACUGUUUAACCUUCCCCUCGAUGAUUGCACUAGCCUCCAUUUUCCGGGCCAUAUCCACUAUGGCAUGGAAGCUCUCCCUUUCUGCUGACUGGAUUAAGGAGGAAUACCUGGAAUCAAGCUUCAUAAUAUACCUCCUUGCCUUCUUCUGAUCUGUGUCUAAGGUUUGUCCUGCAAACGGUAGCAGCUCCAAAAACUUGUCUGUGAGCUCCUCCACACUCAUCCCAUCGGUUUGCCUCAACUGUUCAAAUUCAAUCAUCUUCAAUUCCCUGGAGCUAUUUGGGAAAGCCCAUCCAGCAAACUCGUUUGCAAACUCCUCCCAGGUCAUGCUGUCCACCCUCGGGUUCACAUAAUUUUUAAACCACUCUCGGGCCUUCUUGCAUUUGAGUGUGAACCCAGCCAUCUGAAUGGCUCUGCUAUCAUCAGCUCCUAUCUCAUCUGUAAUUAUUUUGACCCUUCCAAGGUACUCAAACCGGUCGUCCCCUUAAUCAUACUGAGGAGCACCAAGCUUCAUGUAGUCGGUCAUCUUCACCUUGCUCCCUCCAGAUGAGCUAGGUUUAGGUAUGUGGGUUUCUGGAACUGUGGGUUCUGCUGGGGGUGGAGGAGGUAUAGCAUUCCCUGAGGUAGGGUUUGCUGGAUUUGGAUGGUAGGGAGGGGGUGGAUACAUAGGGUACUGUGAGUAUGGUGGGUAGUAGGGUGGGUAUGGCAUGUGUGAGUGGUAAGGAUUAAAACUGGGGUAAUCCGAUGUACCUUCCAUCGAAUACCCGGGAUUUUGUGAGAAGGGUGGGUAUUGGGGUGGUUGGACAAACCCCGAGGCCUGAGUGCCUCCUUGUGACUCUCCCAUGCCCUCUUCAGACAUGCUCACUCCCAGACUGCCAUCCCUCCUCUGAUCCACAUCCAUGCCAUCUCCCACAUCUACUGACAUUCCACCUUGAACUGUUCCCCUCACUGAUCUACUUCUGCUCAUAUCCAAAGACCUUCUAGGGUCUCUUACUGCUCUUUCUCUGCUGGAUCUGCUAGACAUUGCCCUUGGCAAUGCAGGAGGACGGGCAUCAGUGCCCUCGUCCUGGGGUGGUACUCCAGUCAACCGUGCAGAUCGACGAGUUCCUCUCAUUCUGUUUUGAUAGGAGCGGUUGUCGAAGCCGGUCAAAAAUAACCUUCUUGGUUACCUACAAAUACAACUGUAGACAGUGGUGAAGGAUGGUAUCCACAGAGAAUUGAUUACCUAUUUAUUUAUCUUAAUCAAGACCAAUCAAACCAAUGGAAAGCACAAGUGAAGGCAGUAAUUGCAAAUAGAACAAAAGUAAAGUGCAAGGAAAGUAAAAAGGGGGGUUUUGAGAUGAUUUGAUUAACAACUAAUGAAAGCAAUUAAAAUAGCAAGUAAUUAAAAUAAAAGAGGAAAUCAAUAAGAGAAAGGUCUAGUUGAAGAUAUGGAUCCACUUUGGUUGUUUGGGUUGAUCAUUGAAACAUGGUAAUCUUGAUUAACUCAAUAGGUUGGUUAUGGGGGUAGAAGACGCUUCUCACCACCAUGUCUUUCCUUAUGAACAAAUUGAUUAGGGAACGUCCUCUAGCCAAUUACUAAUCAACAAAUUGCCAAGGAACGUCCUUGGGCCAUAGGCAUCAAAACAAUUGCCAAUUGCAUGAAGAACAAGAAAGAUCCAAACCCUAACUACUCAAACGCAUGAGAUGAUGUUAGAUCAUGCAAUUCCUUGGUUUUUACACCAAGUGUUCUUAGAUCAGAAUAUUUCCAGCAAUUACGGACUAACAAAUAUCCUAAUCAACAAUCAAUUAACUUUGCAAUCAAGAAUCAAGUGGCCAAUUUGAUCAAAACAACAAAGCAAUCUUUAUAAUUAAGCACAAUUGCAUGAAUAUUGAAUAAAUCAAAAGCAAACACUUUAUGUUCAGAUCUCACAACCUUUUAAACAACCUUAGUUUCAACCAAACUUCAACUAGAAAUAGGGUUUCAGCCACUCAUGGCUGAACCAAAACAGGAAAUAAAAGAAAAGAAGAAAGAAGAUGAAGAACUAAGGUGGAGGAGCCUUUGGAGAGCCUUGAUCAAUCCCUUGAUGGAAGAUUUUUCAUUCUUGGUCUUCUUGAGGCCUUUAAAUAGAUCUUGAGAGGCUGCCUUUUUCCUUUUUAGUGUCCAUGCAUCUUUGAGUGAUUGCCCCAUAGUGCCCUUCAGUUUUCUUUGUGCAUAUGUGGAGUUGCAAGCCCUUUUUGGUCUUUUAAUUGACAUCCAAGGUGUGUUCAAGAAGAUUUAUGCACUAAAGAGGAAGGUGGAGCCUUGAUUUGAAUUUUGAAUGAGCAUAGCACUAUGUAGGAAACAUGUGAUCUUCAAGAUUUGGCUCAUUAAAUAGGGAAGAGCAUGUUUGGGGACAAGUUCGACUGCCUAAGUUAAGUUUCGGGGGCAUGACUUUCGUCUCUGGAGCCAAGGUUCGGCGGCCGAAGGUGCCCUCGAAGGUGGGUGACUUUCGCCUCUGGACUGGACUUUAGGCCGCCGAAAGUGCCCCCGAAAGUGGGUGACUUUCGGCUUCCGAAAGUGCUUCCGAAGGUGCCCCCGAAAGUGGGUGACUUUCGGCUUCCGAAAGUGCUUCCGAAGGUGCCCCCGAAAGUGGUUGAGUUUUGGCUUCCGAAAGUGCUUCCGAAGGUGCUUCCGAAAGUGGCUGUUUUUGGGCAUUCUUUGGCACUUUUAAGGGCAUUUUCUUCAACUUGUUUCUUCACACCUAAUAUUUGCAAAACAUGAUUAAAACCACAAAAUUAGGUAGAAUAGGUGUAAAUAAACAUCAAUAAGAUCAUGAAAAUAUGGACUAAAAUAUGCUCUAUCAUGUUUACUGAAAACAACACAUAGCACAACAUUAGCAUCAAAUUGUUCAUGUGAAAACACAUGAACCCGCAUCACAUACAUCACAUACAUAGCAUAUCAUUAAUGCACAUGCAUAUAAUCAUGGCAUUACACACAGGACUCUACAUCCUAUCCUAGUGGACAUGAUGUUUCCUAUUGUGCUUGAGCUUUUACAACAUCCAUGAGCCCAACACACUAUAGGUCUGACCAUAUGAACCUAGGGCUCUGAUACCAAUCUGUAAUGACCCAAAAAUCCGGACCGCUACCGGCGCUAGGAUCCAGAUCGGCUUAAGGCCGCCGGGACCCGUAGCAAGCCAAACAUAAACCUGUAAACCUGUUUAGUCCCAUACAUGAUCAAACAUAACCAUAACACUAUAAACUUUUUCUUUUCCUUAACCAAGCUUAACUUGUGCUUGCACAUAACAUAAACAUAAACCACACACUGGAGCCCUCAUCAAUGCUCCAAUGGGGUAUCAUAACAUACAUUAAGCUUGGUACAUCAUAAACAUCUCAAAACAUAGAUCAUAUAUUCAAAAGGGAUACACUGAAUAAACCGGGGUCAAGCACAUAUUCUAAACCUCAAUAACAUCAUUACAUUACAUUACAUGUCUAUCAUAUUACAUCAUUUAUCAUGUCCACAUCUAGCUAUUACAUAAUCAUAACUUUACUCCUGCUGACCUCCUGGUCUACCUUGUACCUGCAAACCUGGGGGUUAAGGGAAUGGGGUGAGCUAAAAAGCCCAGUGAGCAGAACCAUAAAAUAUUUUAAUUAUUCAUGCUUUCAUGGAAUGCAUCAUAGCACAGACAUUUCACAUCAAGGACGGACUUGUCACCAAUAACUCUCAUCUCUCAUAAACAAUCAUGCAUUUGCCCGGACGCGUGGCAUGGGCAGCCCGAGACUUUCUGACAUGGUGCCAGAACACGUGGCAUGGGCAGCCCUGGACUUUCUGGGUUACAUACUGAGAGCUAGUGGGUCAUCCAACAUCCAUCCACAUCAACAGUAAAAAUGCAAUGUAUCAUAUUCGUGAUUACUAAUGCAAUACAACCUACAUAAACAUGGCAUCUAUGAUGCAUGGAUCAUGCUAAACAUUUAUUAAAUUUAAAGAUAUAGUUCUGUUCUACUCACCUCUGGUUGAUGCUCUAAGGACUCUGAAGCAGCUAGCACUGCUGACCUCCUCGGUUCCUCGGGUCCGAACCUACACAGGUGGACUCAGAUGAGGGACCAAACAUACUGACAUAGUCUAAACAUUCCCCCAAAAACCCCCUAAAAACACCUAAAAAUAAUCAUAGAAAACAUGCAAGAAAUGGCUGAACAGGGCACUUUCGGCGGCAGGUUCGGCGGCCGAAAGUCCCUCCAGAGCCGAAAGUCAUGCACCUUCGGCGGCACUUUCGGCGGCCGAAGGUUCCUUCCAGAGACGAAACUCAUGCAUAUUCGGCGGCACCUUCGGCGGCCGAAACUCCCUUCCAGAGCCGAAAGUCCACUUUCGGGAGCAGGGUUCGGUAGCCGAAAGGCUUGCCUCACAGACAGGUUCGGCGGCCGAAAGUCCUUUCGGCUGCCGAACCUGGUUUCUCCCAAAAGGGCAGAAACUCAGCUCAACAUGCAUAAACGCCUCCCAACUCAUACAAUCAUGCAUUUUCCUAUUCUACAACAUGUAUACUCAAGCAUACAAGCUCCUAGGGGAUUCAAACUAUCCUAAGCCUCAACUACAACACAUCAAACAAUCAACAUUGCUCAUAAACAUAACAUAAACCCAUAAACUUCACAUAAACCUACACAUGCAUUUCUACCCCAUAAAACCUCAUAAAACUUACUUAAAACAUGAAAGGAACUAUGUAUCUACUCUUACCUCUUGUAGAACGAGAGGAGAGACGAUCCAACGAGGAGAGAUGAUCCAACUCGGAGAUGGGAGAGAUCCGCUCUUUGGUCUCCAAGUUUCCAAAACUUGCUCUUUUUGCUCAAAUCUCUUCAAAUCAACAUAAAGCUUGUUAAAACAUGAAAGAUCGGAGGAAAAACAUCAAAAACGAACCAUAGGAGAGCAUGAACUCACCGUGGUCGAAAAUGGGGAGAAAACUCGCCCGUUUCGGCCAUGGAGCUCUUAUAAAGGGCUGGCAGACCACCUUUCGGCAGCCAAACGUGCCCCCACAUCUCAUGCAAGUUCGGCGGCUGAACAUGAGGUUCGGCGGCCGAACCUUUGAAACUUUCGGAAGCCUAACAUGCCCCCCUAAACCAUCCCACGUUCGACGGCCGAACUUGGAAAUGUCUCCUGGGUCUUUUUCAUUAAAAACUCAAUUUCCUUUUUACUUAAAAACAUAAAAUACAUUAAAACAUUUUAUAAAACAUGAUUUUACCCUUCUAGAGGUUUCCGACAUCCGAGAUCCCACCGGACGGUAGGGAUUCCGAUACCGAAGUCUAGCCGGGUAUUACACCAUCUAUCAUCCUGUGGCUGGCCGGACUACUUCUCCUGCCCCCGCUUUUUCUCAGGCUUUGGUGCCUGCCUCCAAGGGCUCCCGUUCUACGGCCUCUAAGGCCUCUACUCAAGGUAGGACUCCGGGCUCCUCCAAGUCCCCUGUAGCUCCAAGGCCCAAGUCGACCUCUACUCUAGCUUCCCGUGAGCCCAUCACCAUCAAAGAGUAUACAGAGGGUGGCUCCAAGGGGGGACCGAGGCCAAUCCUUCUCCAAGACGAUCUAAGCAGGCCGUUGCCACUAGUGCCAUUGUGAUUAGGGGCUCCACUAACAAGCGAGCCCAGUCUUCCGAGGUCCCUCCUGAGGGCUAGGCCUCCAAGGAGGCACGCGUAGCUAGGUCUCCUGAGGCCAUUCUCCCUCCUCCUAUAGACAAAGGAAAGCAAGCCAUAGGGUUGUUUUCUUCAGCCCCUGACAAUGAGCUCCUCAAUGCUGCUGAGGUGACUUCUGGGUCUGCGGCAACCUCUGUGGCUGAGAUGUUAUGAGAGAAGAUGUUUGGUGGGAUAUCUGAUGUCUCUGAUCCGCGCUUCCUUGCUUUCGCCAGCCAUUUGACCUACUCCACCAAGUAACAGGUGGCUUUUUGCUCGCGGUCCCAGGAGGAGCUGGGAGACAGCCUCCGAGAGAUGCUCCUAAUGGUAAGUCACUUUACUAUUUUUAAAUCUGCUUUGUUUCCCUUGUUUUCUAACUCUGUCUAUUGCCUCCUGAUAGAGCAUAAUUUAGUCCAAUUUAUAUUAUUAUUAUUGAUGAAUAUUUACAUGAUUUUUGCUUAAUUUAGUGCUUUUAAUAUUAUUUUGCAGAAAAUGGUGUAAAAGGACAAUUUGGAGAAAAUCCCCCUAAAACUGCCUUAUUUCGAGCAAAAGAGAGCAAGCCUGCCAAGUUGGAUUCAAGACAAGCUAAAUGAGGAAAAUAUUUUGAAAUUUAAAUCUUCAAGCAACUUGGCACUUGGUCAAACUCAUAAAGGUAUAUGGGUUGCUAAGGACACUUGAUCCACUUCAUCAUGGGCCAAGCACAUGGACCCGCACAAGCUCACGCACUUGGACAACCCAUUCUCGCACAUGGACUAAGCUCUUCACGUGGACCAAGCUCACACACAUGGACCCACCAACGCACAUGGGACACUCACGCCUCAACACUCACCCACACAUGGACCCACCUCACGCUUCAACACUCAUCCGCACAUGGACUUCACCAUUUACGUGCACGUGGACCGAAAUUGGGAGCUAGGGCACGCACUCCUCUCAUCCUAUUUAAGGACUCUUAAGCGGCCGACCAGGCAGAAGAUCAAUCACUCUCAAUUCGGCAAUUUCCGCAAGGCAGAAUUCAAGAUUUCAACUCCAUCGGUUCCUUUCUUUUUCCUUUUAUUUUUUUUGUUUUUAAUUCAGCCAUGAGUGGCUGAUUUCUUUUAAUCUAGUUGGAUAUUGGUUGAAGCUUUAGUUGUUUAAUGGGUUGUGAGACUUGAUCAAAUAUUGUUUAACUUUUGGGAGUUCAAUAUUCAUGCAAUUUCAUACUUAAUUUUCAUAUUACUUUGUUAUUGAGAUCUACGUUGAUUUUUAAUUGCAAAAUAAUUAUUUGUUAGUUUGAAUGAUUUAAGUCCGUAAUUGCUUAGAUUAUUCUUACAUAAGAACACUUGGCAUUAAAACCAAGGAAGUUGUAUGAUCUAGCGUUAUCUCCAUACGUUUGGGUAGCUAGGAUUGGAUCUCUCUAUUUCUUAAUGCAAUUAACAGUUGUUUGUUGCCUGAGACCCAAGGACGUUCCUUGGCAACUUGUUGAUUAGUAAUUGAUUAGAGGACGUUCCCUAAUUAAUUUGAUAAUAAGGAGAGAUAAUGGUAGUGAGAAUCUUAUUCCAACUCCAUAACUAAUCUAUUGGGUCAACCCAAAAGAACAAAGUGUCUGUGAUCAAUCCCAACAACUAAAGUGGAUCCAAUACUUCAACUAGAGCUUUCUCAUUAUUGGUUACUCUUUAUUUAAUUAUUUGCUUUCCAUUAUUGUUCUCAUUAUUAGUUUACUGCAAUCAAUCCCAAACUCCCCCUGUUAUUUUGUUGACAGUUUUUAUCCCAAUUUCAAUUUAUCUCGUUUUAUCUCACUUUCAGUUUUUAUCUCAUUUUUAGUUUAUUAUCGUUUCAGUUUAUUUUCUUGGUCAUAAAAAGAGAAAUAGGUGAGUUCUCAAUUCCCUGUGGAUUCGAUCCUUUUACCACUAUCUGCAGUUGUAAAUUGUUGAUAACCAGAAAGGUUAUUUUUGACCGGUUUCGACAACCGCGAGUCAAAAAUUGGCGCCGUUGCCGGGGAAUUGAUUUAACUUGUUUAUUUUUCUUUCAUGACCAGAUCUGAACAUAAAAAAAAAAACCAUCGCAGAAUUGAUUUAUGGAUGAGGUAUGUACAUCUACUUUUUCCUCUCAGCUUUCUGAAUCGACCUCUAUUGUGAAAAGUUUUGUCAGAGCCCAAGCUCAACAAGUUCAACAAUUUCAGCCACCUAGGCCAUAUGGGACCUAUGCUUAUGUAGGACAUCCAACUUAUCAAUGCCCUACACUUUAUGAGGAUGACCAACCAAUACAUGCCUUUGGAGGAUUCAAUAGCCAGCCUAGACAUGAUUCAUAUUCUCACACAUACAAUUCAGGAUGGGGAGACUAUCAGAACUUCGACUAUGCUAGGGGUAACAAUUACCAGAACUAUCAGAGAGACGACCCCUACUCUGACACAUACCAUCCAGGUUGGGGAGACUAUCCAGACUUCAGUUAUGCAAGGGAUAAUGACUACUAAAAUUAUCAAAAUUAUCAAGCCCAACUAGAACCUCCAAGUCCCAAUAUGCACCUUGAAAGGAUGAUAGAGACAUUGGCAAUUUCUAUACAAGGCCUCCAACAACAGGUGGAUCAAUUAGAUGCAAUCAUGUUAAGAAGAGAGGAAGAGCUUCAAGAUGUAUGGGAUGAUGAUGAAAGUUCACAAGUGCAAGAACAAGCUGCUGAAGAGAAACAACUAGAAAAUUGCUUGCCUAAACAAACUGAUCAAACAGAACCUAUUGAAAGUUUAGAUAUCAUUGAUUGUAUGAGCCAAGAGAAUUUUUAUAUGCUAAACAAUGAUUUCUGCAGGGAAGAGAACCAGAAAGAGCCAGAAUUGAAAGAAACUAACUGUUGCACCCAGCAGGUAGGUUGCAGUCAAGCACAAAUUGAAGAGAUCUUAGUCACACCACUUCAAAAAGGCCUUGCGCAGCCUGAGACCAUCUCCAGCGCAACACUCCAGUUUCCAACGCAAGAGAGCCCUUCCAGUCCUCUCCUUCAGUCAAACCAUGCGCAAAACAAGGAAGAGCCAAUCGCACCUAUUCAGAUCAAUCUUGCACAGUCAGAAGGAACUCCAACCGAACCACUUCAGCUUAAACCGCAGGACAAUCAUCCCUUUCAGGUAAGUCUUGCGCAGAAGGAGCAAACUGAAACCAUUUCAGCCAUAGAUCCAAUGCAAACAGCCCAUGCUCACAAGGAACAAGUGGAAGUUCAAGAGCCCAAACCAAAGGACCAUGCAGAUCAAUGCCUUCUCAAACCUCCAGAUAAGGUAGAAUUUGUUUUGCCUGAUUUCAGUACUAAAUUGCAGCUAGCCAUAAAGAAACAUGAAUUGGAGUUCAAAGUGCUUCCCAAUCAUCUCAAAAAUGCAACCAUAAGGGCUAGAGGCACACCUCAUCUGAAAGAGGAGAGGCUAAUCAUGUUGCUUCAUGAGUACAUGAGAAAAAUAGGAUGGGUUAUGACCAAAUCAAAAGGAGUGCUACACUUUUUGCUCAAUGCAGUUGGGACUCUUUUCCCUUCCCCAAUUACUUGAGCCUUGAUCAAGUGGAUCGCACCAUGCACACCACACCUAGGGGAGUACUCAGUUUCUUUUGCAUUUUAAAUUUUUCUAUACAUUGAGGACAAUGCAUGAUUUAGGUGUGGGGGUGCAUAAAUCUGAAACUUCAAUUUUUUCAAUUUUUGCAUUUUUCCUUUCAGUUUUGCGUUUUCUUCUCCUUUCAGUUUCCCUUCUGCGAUUUUGCUUUGAUCCAAAUAGCCACAGUUGAAUUUUUUUUUUUAUUAUUAUUAUUUUUGCUUUCAAUAACACACACAGAUAGCCACAGUUUUUUUUAUUAUUUAUUUUGUUUCCGUUUUUGAGAUACUUUACUCAUCAUAUAGACUAUGUUGGAUGAAUUUUCUUUCCAUGACCCCAUUGAUGUGAUAACUCUUUAAACUUAUGUUGAAUCAAAUGCAGUGAGUUAUAUUCAUGUUUGAGAAUUGCCUUUUUAAUUGAAUCUUUGAGUUUGCCAUGGUGAAAAAUAUAUUGAUGACACUCAUUAGAGAGAAUGAAUUGAAAUUGUGUGAAUGAACUUAACAUGACUUGAUUUAGCAAUUAGUAUUGAUUUGCCCAAAUCAUUGAGAGAAAGAAAUUCACAAAGGCUUAGACUUCAAAAGCACAAAUUGAAAAUUAUUCCAAUGGUCAAAAGACUAUGAACAGAGCUAGUAGCCACUUGGACAGGUGACCAACUGACUAACUGGGGGUGGGUAUCACAAAUAUGUACCUUCACAUCAAAAGGUUGGUGACUUGUUCAAGCAAAAUUAAAAGUGCAGAAAGCUGAAUAAAGUACUUCAAGGUAAGGGCAAGUCACUCUAAAAGCUAGAAAAAGUCUUAUCUGAACAAAUAAUAUGUGCAUGUAUGAUCUCUCUCUUGAGUAAAACAAAUCCUAACCAUGGUAAGUAAAAGGAAACAAGGAAAGAAGGUGAGUAAUCUUCAUGCAUAUACUCUUCACUGCAAUGAUUCAAAAUAGGUAUCUUGAGUAAGAGCUUAAGUGGAAAGAAGGAUCUAGAGUAAGAAAGCUUAUUUGACUAUGUUUAUUUGCUUGAGGACAAGCAAAAGACUAGGUGUGGGAGUAUUUGAUAGAGCAUAAUUUAGUCCAAUUUAUAUUAAUAUUAUUGAUGAAUAUUUACAUGAUUUUUGCUUAAUUUAGUACUUUUAAUAUUAUUUUGCAUAAAAUGGUGUAAAAGGACAAUUUGGAGAAAAUCCCCCUAAAACUGCCUUAUUUCGAGCAAAAGAGAGCAAGCCUGCCAAGUUGGAUUCAAGACAAGCUAAAUGAGGAAAAUAUUUUGAAAUUUAAUUCUUCAAGCAACUUGGCACUUGGUCAAACUCAUAAAGGUAUAUGGGCUGCUAAGGACACUUGAUCCACUUCAUCAUGGGCCAAGCACAUGGACCCGCACAAGCUCAUGCACUUGGACAGCCCAUUCUCGCACAUGGACCAAGCUCUUCACGUGAACCAAGCUCACGCACAUGGACCCGCCAACGCACAUGGGACACUCACGCCUCAACACUCACCCGCACAUGGAUCCACCUCACGCUUCAACACUCAUCCGCACAUGGACUUCACCGUUUACGCGCACGUGGACCGAAAUUGGGAGCUAGGGCACGCACUCCUCUCAUCCUAUUUAAGGACUCUUAAGCGGCCGACUAGGCAGAAGAUCAAUCACUCUCAAUUCGGCAAUUUCCGCAAGGCAGAAUUCAAGAUUUCAACUCCAUCGGUUCCUUUCUUUUUCCUUUUAUUUUUUCUGUUUUUAAUUCAGCCAUGAGUGGUUGAUUUCUUUUAAUCUACUUGGAUAUUGGUUGAAGCUUUAGUUGUUUAUUGGUUUGUGAGACUUGAUCAAAUAUUAUUUAACUUUUGGGAGUUCAAUAUUCAUGCAAUUUCAUACUUAAUUUUCAUAUUACUUUGUUAUUGAGAUCUACAUUGAUUUUUGAUUGCAAAAUAAUUAUUUGUUAGUUUGAAUGAUUUAAGUCCGUAAUUGCUUAGAUUAUUCUUACAUAAGAACACUUGGCAUAAAAACCAAGGAAGUUGCAUGAUCUAGCGUUAUCUCCAUACGUUUGGGUAGCUAGGAUUGGAUCUCUCUAUUUCUUAAUGCAAUUAACAGUUGUUUGUUGCCUGAGGCCCAAGGAUGUUCCUUGGCAACUUGUUGAUUAGUAAUUGAUUAGAGGACAUUCCCUAAUUAAUUUGAUAAUAAGGAGAGAUAAUGGUAGUGAGAAUCUUAUUCCAACUCCAUAAUUAAUCUAUUGGGUCAACCCAAAAGAACAAAGUGUCUGUGAUCAAUCCCAACAACUAAAGUGGAUCCAAUACUUCAACUAGAGCUUUCUCAUUAUUGGUUACUCUUUAUUUAAUUAUUUGCUUUCCAUUAUUGUUCUCAUUAUUAGUUUACUGCAAUCAAUCCCAAACUCCCCCUAUUAUUUUGUUAACAGUUUUGAUCCCAAUUUCAGUUUAUCUCGUUUUAUCCCGCUUUCAGUUUUUAUCUCAUUUUUAGUUUAUUAUCGUUUCAGUAUAUUUUCUUGGUCAUAAAAAGAGAAAUAGGUGAGUUCUCAAUUCCCUGUAGAUUCGAUCCUUUCACCACUAUCUGCAGUUGUAAAUUGUUGAUAACCAGAAAGGUUAUUUUUGACCGGCUUCGACAACCGCGAGUCACCUCCUUUCUAUCAGGCACUUGGCAUUUACAUGGAGGACGAUGCUUGAGAUUAGUCCCUCUAGAGCUCGAUGGACUAACAAAUUGAUGAGGCCCACUGUGAGGAGAACAUCAUGGCGAAUGGUGAUGCCUAUGGGCAUAUAAUCGAGCUUAAAAGUUAGCUUGAUGACCUCACCAUUCGCUUAGGGGAGAUGUAGGAUGAGGUUAGCAAGGCUUCUAAGCGGGCUUCUACGACAAAGUCUCAACGGGACGAGGCUUUGGCGCAGUUGUCUUCUCUGCAGAAGUCCUACCGCGAGUGGGAUGAGGCCAGAGCUCAACUCAACGAGGCCCAGGCUCAGUGUGAGGAGGCAAGGGCUCAGCAAGAUGAGGCCUAGGCUCAGUGCGAGGAGGCGAAGGCUCAGCAGGAGGAAGCUUUGGCCCGGGUUACUGUCCUUUAGCAAGAGCUCAACAAGCAUGUUGAGGACCUGAAAGGCAUGGCCUUGGUAGCAGAGGAGUGGCGGCUUCAGCAAUAGCAACUCUGCCAAGAGGUCACUGCUCUAAAGGAGAGAUGCUCUGCCUUGCUGAGGGACACUAGGCUUACAGAAGAUAGGGUCCAGCUGGCCUGUGAGGAGCGCCUGCAGGAGUACAAGGACUUUACUGAGCUAAAAGCCAAGAUUAAGCAAGCCUGUGAAGCGUGAAUUGAGGAGUAUAAGGCUUCUAAUGAAAUGAAAGAGAAAUUAUACGACUCAGCCUUCUGUAUGUUCGCUUCCGAGUUCAAUCAAGGCCUGAAGGCAGCUAGGGAUACCCCCCUCCACUCCAUUGGCAGCCUUUCGAGCUCCCAAAGUUGACUCUGAUGGCAAGGAUGAUAACCCACUGCCUAAAGGAGCUCUUCUCCUGCCAGCUGGACCUUAGGGAGAAGACAGUGUAAAUAAGCCCUUGAACAAUCUUGUCAGUUCGAACUCUUCUUCUAUAUCUAUAAAUAAAUAAAUAUAUAAAUGAAUAAAUAUAUUUCUUUUUACCUACUUUGCCUUUGUGUUUAUUUUAUUUGUUGCACUUUUAUCUCUUAUCUUUGUCUUAGUUUUUGGAUGUAUGACGAUUUGGGAAUAUAGAGUAAUAAUAAGUGAUAUUUCACCUCAGCGCAUGCUUCAUUUAUACUUAGAUUAUUUUCUAUAUACAUUGCUUUCUUUGUUCUGCCGAACUGCUUAGUCCUUUUGGGAUUUAACUCAUCCUCGAUGUCUGACUUGUGAACUUCUUUUAACUUACCUUAACAUAAAAGGCCUUAAGCUAUAUGUUUACUUAGUAAAUUCCAACUUACUUAACUCACUUAAUUAAUGGACUAAUCUUUCCUUCGUAUGACUUUGUCAAAUGGAUAGGUCCGGGCUGAGAGCUUGGAGUUCGCUAAGCAUUUAACUCAUAAGUUUUUCCCAUUCUUAUGAGGGCAUUUACGUCAUUUACUCACGACCUCCUUAGUGCCACGAGCUCGGAUAUGUAAUACUUAGAAUGAUCAUCUUUGUGUAUAAGUUUUUUCGUUGUGGGGUGGUUUCUUGGGCCCAUCCGAGCUGCAAGUUCGGAUGCACUAUCAUUAAGUUCUUCUUUUACUUAGUGUAAUAAUUAGCAAAGAUUAUCAAUUAAGCGCCAUGAGCUAUGGGCUUGUCCGAGCUGCAUGGAUUCGUCCAAUCUAUGAGCUCGGCUAUUUUUGCGCAUUUUUGGCUUGUGGGCCCCCUCGGAUAGGGAGCUCGGCUUUCUAUUAUUUUUCCAUAACUUAUUCUGCUUACGCGUUCAUAUGUCGGGGGUUCAUUCGAACUAGGAGCUCGGUUCUUUAUUUUUUGCUUAAGCUUUUCCGCAUGCCUAUAGCCUGUGAGUCCGUCUAUGCCAUGAGCUCAGGAGUCCGGAAUUUUGUUUCUGGCCUUUGGGUGUCUCGAGCUCUUUUAUGAGGUCGGACCUGAUUCCCAAGUUGUGUGCCGAGCCUUAUGCAAGCUACGUUUCGGUCUGUCUGAUUGUUUGUUUGCUUUGCCUUAGCUUUUCUUUUGAGGGGAGGCUUAGUGCCUUUAUUUUUUCUUCGUUGACCUUUCCUCUCUCAGCUCGGUUUGGUGGUGCUGGCGGUCAUUGUCUGAGACCAGUCACCUAUCUCACUAGGGGCUUCAUUUCCCUCUCAACUCGAUUUUGCGUGGCCUUGCUCGGGAUUCAGGAUCAUUGGCCUUACUGUCGCUUCUAGGCUCAUUAGCCUUGCUUGAGAUUCAGGCUCAUUGGCCUUACUAUCGCUUCUAGACUCAUUGGCCUUGCUCGGGAUUCAGGCUCAUUGGCCUUACUGUCGCUUCCAGGCUCAUUGGCUUUUGUCAACCUUCAUCCUCUCAGUUUGGUUUUGUGGCACUGGCGGUCAUUUUCUGAGGCCAGUCACCUACCUCACUGAGGGCUUCUUUUCCCUCUCAGCUUGGUUUUGUGGUGCUGGCAAUCAUUUUCCAAGGCCAGUCACCCACUUCACUGAGGGCUUCUUUUCCCUGUUUUGAGAAUACUUGGGAGAUACAUAGGGAAAUAAAAACAACAUUUCUCAUUUAUAUUUUCAAAGUAAAGAGUUUUUCAUUGUAUAUUUUUCAAGGAAAAUACCUCUUCAGGUGUUGAAUAUUCCAAGCAUAAGGCUUUGGGUUCCCUUGUAGGUCUUCAAUCCUGUAGACCCCAGGCUUGACGACUUUAGUUAUCUUAAAGGGGCCCUCCCAAGUGGGUGCCAGUUUUCCUAUCGCUGCUCUCUUCCCCGUAGCUUCUAAUCUUCUCAGGACCAGGUCUCCAACUUUUAGACUUUUUUCCCUAACCCUCUAGUUGUAGUAACGGGCUGCCUUUUGUUGAUAGGCAGUAGUGCGCACUUGAGCUUCCUCUCUAAUUUAUUCUAGGGCGUCUAAGUUAUUUCUUAACUUCUCUUUAUUAGUGUCUUCAUUGCUGAAUUGGACACGGUGAGAAGGGAUUUGUAGUUCGAUGGGAUUUGUAGUUCGAUGGGGACUAUUGCCUCGGUGUCGAAUGCCAGUGCGAAUGGUGUUUCCUUCGUCAGCAUCCGAAGGGUAGUCUUGAACACCCAUAGGAUGCUUUUGAGUUCAGCUGCCAAGUUCUUCUUUGCUCCAUCCAGCCGCUUUUUUAAUCCCUAAAGGAUGGCUUGGUUCGUGAACUCCGUCUGGCCAUUUGUUUGAGGAUGGGCUACCGAGGAGAACUUGUGCCAAAUGCACAUGUUUCUUGUGAAGUCCUUGAAGGACUUGCAAUCGAACUGCUUGCCAUUGUCUAAUAUGAAUGUCCUCAGUAUCCCAAAUUGGCAUAUGAUGUUGCCCCAUACAAAGUCUAUCAUCUUGAAAGUUGUGAUUGUGGGUACGGCUUUUGCCUUAGGCCACUUGGAGUAGUAUUCUACAACUACUAUCACGAACCUCUGCCCCACCAUUUUUGGGAAAGGACCGAGGAUAUUGAUCCCCCAUCCUUUUUGCUAGUUCUCUUUGUUCUUUAUUGAUUUAAGGCAGGAUGAGUAAAGAUAAAAAUGUGGUGGAUAGUGAUGGUGAAAGUGAAUGAGACAUGGCUAGUGAUUAUAUGCUCUUCAAAAAGUCAAUUGGUGGUGAGUUUAGAAGAUUUUAUAAGACUCUUAAGAGGUUGACUGAAACUAUGGAGAGUUUGAAUAUCUCACAAGCUUCCACUUCUACAAGAAUGCCUCAAAAAACUCUUAAUUCCAAUAGGCCUCAAGUCCGAGAUAAAGAGUUGAUGCACCAGAGAUUCAUCCCAUCACACUAUUAUAGGGAUUUGAAAAACAGGUUGGCAAGACUAGUUCAAGAAGGAAAGAUAGAGAAAUAAAAGGAGAAAGAAGAGGCUAAAGUUCCAAUCUCAACUUCCAUAGAGAUUGAAAUUGAAGAGGAAGUUGUAAUGCAUGAAGUUAAUAUAGUUAUUGCUGAAAAUUCCAUCAAUGAGCUUAUAAAAGAGGUUGUGAAUGAUGGUGGACAUGGGAAGCACGUGAUUAAUGAGGUGGAGGAGGUGAAUGAGGCUAUUUUGGAAGUUGUAGAGGAGAAUGGAUCAUAUGCACAUGAUCUUUCUAUGACUAAUAUUUUUAUGCCUAGUUCAUUUGUUCUUGAUGUGCAGGUUAUUGAAGAAAACAUCCAUGAUAAAAUUUUUAUACUAUUUCCACCUAUUCAAGAGGAGGUCUUUGAAGAUGUAUUAGUUCCUAAAGCUUCCCUUCCUGACAUAAACAUCAACAAGAUUCAACGACUAAUCUUUUCUAAAGAAGGAGGGAAUGAUACGGAUCCAAUAGGGCAAAUUUCUAACAAUAGUGUAGAGCAAACUUAUAUCAUUCAAAUGGAUCUAAAAGGAGUUCAAAAUCAUAUUCAUAUGAUCCAUAUACAUUUGGAGUGUGCUUUAACUCAUAUGGGAUAGAUUUGGUGUAACACUUGAAAUCAUAGGUUUAGGGAGCCUAAUCAAACCUAUGGGAUAAAACUACACAAAGGGGAAGCCUAAAGUGAAGAUCAAGAAAGGUUUUUGUGAAGAUACAACUUUGUCAUGAUGGGCUUGCUAUGUUUUAUUAUUUAAACACUUACUUUAUUUUGGCUUUGUUUGGGCUUGUAUUCUAGCCAUAUUUUAUCUUUUAAGUUUUAGAGUGUUGGGCCAUGUCUUGGGCUUAUGUUUUAAUACUUAUGAGUUUGAUGUGUUAUUUUAGUGUGUGAUUGGGCUUGAGCCUUAUGUGUGGUUUAGCCAGGCCUAAGAAGAGUGUCUUAGGGUUUUAUUUGUUUUCUCCUUACUAUAUAAGGAUAAGAAAUACUUGUAAGAGGCAGCUUUGAAUCUAAAUUUUCAAAAUUCCUUCUCAUGCCUUUGGCUUGUAUUGCUUUGAGUAAGAGUGAGGAUUUUCUUUCAUCAAUUGUACCAAGAAUCUUGGCUAACUUAUCAACUAUUUGUUGUGGCUGUAACAGCCCGGAAACCGAUAUCCCUCUGUAACGGCCCGAACUGCUAUCGGCGCUAGGAUCCAAAUCGGCUUAAGGCCGCCGGGACCCGUAGCAAGCCAAACAUACUUCCUAUCACCUGGUCAAAUCCCAUACAUGAUCAAAACUUUAACAUAAAAACUUAAAGAUCUGAUGUACAUCCCGAGCCUGACCUGUAUGCGACAUAACUGAAAACAUAAAGAACCCUACUAGAGCCCUCAACAAAACUCUAGCUGGGUCAACAUAACAUACAUCAAGCCGGAGUCACAUCCAAAGAACUAGAACAUAACCUGUGCAUGCAUCAAACCACAAACAUAAGACCUCCACUAGGGUCCUCAUCAAAUACCAUAGCGUGGUAAACAACACAUGCCACUAGUUUAGUUCAAACACAACUCAACAUCUGACAUAACAUACAUCAUGUACUAAAAAGGGACUAACCAAGUCUUAGGGCCAAGCACAGUACUAAUACGUAAACAUAACUCUAUUAAACUUGCAUUACAUUACAUUAUCUUACAAUUCAUUAUCUCCAUUUACAAUACAUGUCCACACUAACAUACUAAGCUAAUACAAAGCCACAACCUUAACUCUUGAGACUUCCCAAUCUUCCUCAGACCUGCAACACUGGGGUUAGGGGAGAGGGGUGAGCUAAAAAGCCCAGUGAGUAGAAACAAUGCACAAUAAUAAUCAUAUGCUAUCAUGGAAUGCGUCACAGCACAAACAUUUCACAUAACGGAUGGACAUGACCACCAAAACUCCCUCUGUCUGUAACAUAUCAUGGUGCCCGGCCCUUCGGGCUCCUCAGGACUUCAUUAUGUCCGGCCCUCAAAGGGGCUCCUCAGGACUUCAUUAACAUAUCAUAAAUAGGGCUAUUGGGGUCGCCUUGGUCCAUCCAUAUCAACAGUAAAUAAUGCAAUGUGUCAUAUUCGUGAUUUCUAAUGCAAGCAACCUAUUACAUAUAUAUGGCAUUCAUGAUGCGUGAAACAUGCUUAAAACAUUUGAGUUAGUUCUACUCACCUUUGGCAGACGCCGGACUGACUCUGCAACAGCUAACACUGAUGGCCUCCUCGGUCCCUCGGGUCCGAUCCUACACAGGUGGACUCGAAUGAGGUGCCAAACACACUCUAAACAACUCAUAAACAAUUACCCAAAAACCCCCUAAAACAUCACUUAAACAUGCAUAGAAAAUAACCAUGAAAAGGCUGGAUAGGGCACUUUCGGCGGCACCUUCGGCGGCCGAACCCUCUCUCCAGAGACGAAACUCGGGCACUUUCGGCAGCACCUUCGGCGGCCGAAAGUCCCUCUCCAGAGAUGAAAGUCAGGCACUUACGGCGGCUGAACUUUCCUUCGGCGGCCGAAAGUUUGCUUUCAAGCCAAAACUCAACUUUCGGGGGCAAGGUUAGGCGGCCAAACCAUGCAUCCACAGGCAGGUUCGGCGGCCGAAACUACCUUCGGCGGCCGAACCUGAGUUCGUCCAGAACUCAGCCUCUCAUGCAUCCAAGCCUCCCAAACCUUCCAAACACCCCAAACAAGCACCCAACCUUACAAAAACAUGCAUAAACCCUCAAUCAUGCACAAAGGAGCUUAAACAAGCUUAAACUCUAACCAAGAACAUCAUAAAGCAUACAUAAAUAGCUUAUGACCCACAUAAGCCAAAACCAUCAAAACUACUCAAAACCUCACUUGCUCUCUCCCAAUCAUGUAUACACUCUCCCACAUGCAUAGAGGAGCAUAAACUAACUUAAACUCCUCAACACAAACAUCACAUAACAUACAUAAACAUACAUUGGGCAUAAAACCCACAUAAGCCUAAACAUGCAUAUCUACCCAUACUCAACCAUCAAAACAUCAUUAAACUUACUUAAAACUCCAUUAAAACAUGAGGAAAGCAAGGAUCUACACUUACCUCUUGAAGAUCGAGGGGUGGUGCGAUCCCUAACUCGGAGGUGUGGAGGAUCUAAGCUCCAAAAGCCUCCAAGCUCCCAAAACUCCUAUUUAAGCUUCAAAACUUCAAAACAAGGGGAGAACUCAUGAAAACUUGAGGGAUGGGUAGAGAAAACAUGAAAACAACCAAAGGAGGGUAAAAACUCACUUGAGCUCGAGAAUGGGGAGAAAACUCGCCUAUUUCCGAUCUGAGGGCUCUUUAUAGGUGGCCUGGUCAAAGACCUUCGACAGCCUAACGUGCCCCCUAAACUCAUGCACGUUCGGCGGCCGAACUUGAGGUUCGGCGGCCGAACCUUGGUUAGUUCAAACAAAGCUUUCGGAGGCCAAAAGCGCUCCCAAAACCUUCCCAUGUUCGGCGGCCGAACUUCACUUUCGGCGGCCGAACCUGGCAAAUGCCUCCUUGGUCUUUUCUUUUCAAAACUCAAUUAUUCUCCAUUUAAAACCAUAAAAUCAGUAAAAACAUUUUAGAAACACAUUUUACCCCUCUAGAAGCCUCUGGCAUCUUCAGAAUUCCAGAUUCCAACAGAGAUUUCGCCGGAAGGUAGGGAUUUCGAUGCUAGAAACUAGCCGGAUAUUACAGUGGCGUUUGUUGAAUUCUCAUCUAAAUCCUUCAAUCAUUAGUGUUUCAACUUCUCUAAGUGUGGGGUGCCAUAGGUGGUGGGUUUAUCAAAUCUUUGGAUUCCAUAUCUACUUGUACGUAUGGGUUUGAGGCUUGUGCCAUAGGGUUCCACGUCAAAUGUGUUGUAUGUACACUUCGUCUGGGAGCUGUUCUAAUUCCUCUUUAGACAGUCUACUGAGCAGAUCUGCUUCUUCAUUUUACUCCCGGGCUAUCCUUUGAUAUUGCAUGGCAAUCCCCUGUUCACUAAGCUCAACUUCCACGGCUCGUAUCCUGGCCAAAGACUUCUACAUGACGGGGUCCUUUGCCUGGUAUGCCCCUGUUAUUUGGUUGAUUACCAACUGGGAGUCACUAUUUAUAUUGAGGUCGGUUGCCCCCACUUUUAAUUCUAUCUGCAUCCCAUUUAUGAGGGCUUCAUACUCGGCCAUAUUAUUGGAUGCUGCGAACUCUAGGCGCAGGGCAUAGCAGACCCUGAAUCCCUCCUGUCCUUUCAAAAGUAUUCCUGCCCCACUGCCCACGGCGCUGGAUGCUCCGUCUAUAAAUAGGUUCCAACUGAACUCACGUGGUUGUUGGUCCUCGUCCCUUCCUUCGGUUGAGCUCGGUAACCCCUCACUCUGUUCAUGUUGAUUUAGGCUAAAAGAGCACUCAACUAUGAAGUAAGCUAAGACUUGGGCUUUGAUGGCCAUCCAAGGUUGGUAUAUGAGGCAGUACGGGUGGAUUUCUACAUACCAAGCCAACAUCCGUCCUGAAGUUUCAGGUCUGUGCAGAAUUUUCUUCAAGGGCUAGUCUGUCAUUACUACUCCUUGGUGGCACUCUAGGUACACUCUGAAUUUUCUUAAUGCUAGUAACAAGGCAAAUGCCAAUUUCUAAAUGUUCAUGUAUCUGACCUCUGCACCCUUGAGCACUUUGCUGAUGUAAAAGAUAGGGUUAUGUUCCCCUGCUUCCUCUCUUACCAGCACAACACUUAUCACUUGUUCUAAGGCGGCUAAGUAUAUCAAGAGUUCUUCCCCAGCUAGAGGGCUGCUGAGCAUAUGUGGUGAACUGAGGGGUAUUGCUUGAGGUUUUUAUAGGCUUCUCGGCAAUCCUCUGUCCAUUCGAAGUUCGGGACCUUCCUCAGUUUUUUGAAGAACGGUAGGCACCUUUCUGCAGACUUUGACAUGAACUGGUUAAGUGGCACCACUCUUCCCAUGAGCUUCUGUACAUCCCUUACGCAGGUUAGCUCGAGCAUUCUCAAUAUGGCCUCUGCUUUCUCUGGGUUUGGCUUGAUGCCUUUCCCACUUGUAAUACCCGGCUAGACUCCGGUAUCGGAAUUCCUACCGUCCGGUGGAAUUUCGGAUGUCGGGAACUUCUAGAAGGGUAAAGACAUGUUUUAUGAAAUGUUUUUAUGUUUUUAAUGGUUUUAAAGUAUGAAACUAAAUGAGUUUUUGCAUGAAAAUAGCAUUGGAGGAAAACCCAGGUUCGGNN